GUAACAAGAAUACUAGAUGGUUGUUACUUCUCUGCCCAUUAUGGACUGAGUGUUCUCAUUGAUAAGUCACUCAUAAAAAUUUCAAGUAAAGACAAGCUACAAAUGCAUGAUUUACUCCAAGAGAUGGGUUGGGAAAUUGUUCGCCAAGUAUCCUUCAAAGAGCCAGGCAAGCAUAGCAGACUGUGGAAUCCUGAAGAUGUCUGCAACGUUUUGAAGAAAGACACUGGAACUGAUGCAAUUGAAGGCUUGCUCCUAGAUAUGUCUAAAAUCAGAGAAAUGCAUUUAAAUUCUGAAGCCUUUACAAAUAUGCGUAAUCUUAGGCUUCUGAAAUUCUAUUUAUCUGAUCAGCUUUUGGGAGACUUUGUAAAUAACCCUAAAUUGUGUUUCCCCCAAGGAUUAGAAUACCUUUCUGAUGAGUUAAGAUGCCUAUAUUGGGUUGGAUUUCCAUUGAAAACAUUGCCACCGAGAUUUAGUCCAGAGAAGCUUAUUGAACCUAACCUGCCGUACAGCAACAUUGAGCAACUCUGGAUAGGAACUAAGCAAUCUAACCGAAAUUCCUGAAGAUCUUUGUUGUAUAUCCUCAUUGAAAACAUUAAAUCUGAACGGAAACAAUUUCGAGAGCCUACCUUCAAGAAUAAAGCAACUGUCGAAGCUGAAACGCCUUUACUUAAGAGAUUGCAAUAUGCUUCGAUCUUUACCGGAGCUUCCACCAUGUUUAAGAGUACUAAUAGCAAUGAACUGCAAGCGGCUACAAUCAUUACCCAAGCUUCCAUCAAGUCUAGAAGAAUUAGAUGCAUCUGAGUUGGAGGUAGUAUCUGAACGCUAUGUCCCAUUUUCAUGGAUCACAAUGCGCUUUUUAUUCACAAAUUGUCAGAAAUUGAAUCAAAAUGCAUACAACAUCUUGGAACUUUCCCAGCUAAGAAUUUAUCAAAUGGCUGUCACAUCUUUGAGACUUUGUUAUGAAAAGGUACUCAAAGUCACACCUGCAAUCAGCUUUUGUUUACCCGGAACUAUAAUUCCUAACUGGUUCAGCUACCGAAGUUCAGGAUCUUCGAUAACUAUUCAGCUCCCUCAGCAUUGGUGUAAUACAAGGUUCAUCGGGUUCGCUUUAUGUGCAGUUAUUAAAUUUGAGGAGAGCUACUGCGAUAGUGCUUUUUAUGUAACUUGUGAUUAUCAUUUUGAUACCAAUAGU
This is an RNA transcript of Pistacia vera, 1192 nucleotides long. It is a transcript of the gene named putative disease resistance protein At4g11170, with no coding region annotated. NCBI's taxonomy places the organism in Eukaryota, Viridiplantae, Streptophyta, Magnoliopsida, Sapindales, Anacardiaceae. The record is from RefSeq and is a predicted model, not a curated record. The transcript has 4 exons.